GGACCAUCCUCCAAGCCUAAGUACUCCUACAUGACCGAUAGUGAACCAGUACCGUGAGGGAAAGGUGAAAAGCACCCCGACGAGGGGAGUGAAACAGACCCUGAAACUGGACGCCUACAAUCAGUCGGAGGGCGCAAGCCUGACGGCGUACCUUUUGUAUAAUGGGUCAGCGACUUUGUCUCUCGAGCAAGCUUAAACCGUUAGGUGUAGGCGUAGCGAAAGCGAGUCUGAAUAGGGCGACUGAGUUCGAGGGAUAAGACCCGAAGCCGGGUGAUCUAGCCAUGUGCAGGUUGAAGGUGCGGUAACACGCACUGGAGGACCGAACCCACGUAUGUUGAAAAAUGCGGGGAUGACGUGUGGCUAGGGGUGAAAGGCCAAUCAAACCCGGAAAUAGCUGGUUUUCCGCGAAAUCUAUUUAGGUAGAGCGUCUCGCGAAUACCCUCGGGGGUAGAGCACUGGAUGGGCUAGGGGGUCCCAACGACUUACCAAACCUAACCAAACUCCGAAUACCGAGGAGUAAUACGAGGCAGACACACUGCGGGUGCUAAGGUCCGUAGUGGAGAGGGAAACAGCCCUGACCGCCAGCUAAGGUCCCUAAGUUAUCACUAAGUGGGAAACGAUGUGGGAGUGCUUAGACAACCAGGAGGUUGGCUUAGAAGCAGCCAUCCUUUAAAGAAAGCGUAACAGCUCACUGGCCGAGUUAAAAAGUACUGAAAAUAUAACGGGGCUCAAAAAAAUUUACCGAAACUGCGAAAAUAUUAAAUAUUUGGUAGCGGAACGUUCUGUUUUUUUUAAUAUGUUUGUAAGAAUAAGUUAUUAAUCAGAAGCGAUAAUGCUGACAUGAGUAACGAAAAAUUAUGUGAAAAACAUAAUCGCCAACAGUCUAAGGGUUUCUGCGCUCCGUAAAUCGUCGCAGAUUGAAAAGCGGCCCCUAAAAUAUGUUUAGAAAUGAAUAAUUGAUGGGAAUUAAACAAGUGACCGAAAGCAUUUAACAAAUUAAAUUUUAGGAUAAAAAAAUUGGUAAAUGUUUGUUUGCAGGAAAAACUUGUUUUUUAAAAUACCGUACUUUAAACCGACACUGGUAGACUUGUGGAAUACACAACAGGCGUUGAAUUAAUCACAUUGAAGGAACUCGGCAAAAUUCCUCCAUAACUUAGGAAAAAGGAGGCUAGAAUAAUAAAAAUUCUGGGGCACAAAAAUGAGAGGAACAACUGUUUAAUAAAAACACAGGGCUCUGCAAAGUUGUAAAAUGAAGUAUUGAGUCUGACGCCUGCCCAGUGUUGGAAGGCUAAAAUGAUAUGUGGUAUGCAUAAACUAUAACCCCCAAUAAACGGCAGCCGUAACUCUAACGGUUCUAAGGUAGCAAAAUUCUUUGUCGGGUAAGUUCCGACCUGCAUGAAUGGCGUCAUGAUUCCUCUGCUGUCUCCAAUGUGAAUUCAGUGAAAUUGAAUUUCCCGUGAAGAUGCGGGAUUAUUUCUGCUAGACGGUAAGACCCUCUGCACUUUGACUUUAACUUUUUAGUGAAAAAUUUAAUAUUUUGUGCAGUUAUAGGUGGGAGCUAUUUGAACCAAUACGCCAGUAUUUUGUACAAGCAAUCUUGAGAUACCACCGUUAAUUUUAAAUUUUUCUAAUCGAUAUGAAACACUGAAAAGCUGGUAGUUUGACUGGGGCGGUCGCCUCCUAAAUUGUAACGGAGGCGUGCGAAGGU
Molecule: ribosomal RNA, 1708 nt
Filed under: Nephroselmis pyriformis
Lineage: Eukaryota; Viridiplantae; Chlorophyta; Nephroselmidophyceae; Nephroselmidales; Nephroselmidaceae
Description: partial Bacterial large subunit ribosomal RNA
Rfam family: Bacterial large subunit ribosomal RNA
Source: RNAcentral